AUGCAGCAACAUGCCACCAGUGAUGAUGAUGAGGGACAGAAAGAUGAGCUGGUUCCACAGGCAGAUCCAGGGCAAACUCCUUUCACUGAGAGCAGUACAUAUUCCUGGGCAUGUGAAUAUGGGAGCCAACAUCCUGUCGGGGCAGGGGCUGAGGCCCAGGGAAUGGAGGCUUCACCCCGAGGUGGUGAAGCAGAUAUGGAGAAUAUUUGGUCAGGCUCAGGUGGAUCUGUUUGCGACUCAGAUGACAUUACACUGUCCCCUUUGGUUCUCUCUGACUCAUCCGGCUCCACUGGGGCUGGAUGCCAUGGUACAGACUUGGCCGAGGCUUCGUCUGUAUGCUUUUCCCCCGAUUGCUCUGCUCCCGGGAGUUCUGGCGAGAGUACGCCAGGACGGGGUCCGUCUUCUAUUAACAGCCCUGUGCUGGCUGGGCCGAGUGUGGUUCUCGGACCUGAUUUCUCUCCUCGACGGCGCUCCAUGGGAGAUUCCCGUCAGGAGGGAUCUCCUCUCACAGGCGGAGGGCAGGGUAUUCCACCCCCGCCUGGAGCUGUGGAAGUUAUGGGUGUGGUCCCUGAGGGGGAUCAUCUUGUAGCUUCCGGUCUCUCAACCGAGGUUAAGACCAUCCUCCAAUCCAGAGCUCCCUCAACAAGGAAACUGUACGCCUUGAAGUGGAAACUUUUCACUUCUUGGUGUGGAGAUCCCCAACUCGACCCAGUUAACUGCCCAGUUGGUACAGUGCUGGAGUUAGAAGCUCUUUGUAAGCCUCCUUUCGAGAAUAUUGAAGAAGUUGGGGAUCUUCAGACCCUCUCAGUGGCCCCUUCCUACUUAGACUUUGCACCCGUCAUGGCAAAAUUAUUUCUCUACCCUCGUGCGGGGUAUACUCCUAAGGUCUCCUCUGUUACACUACAGCCUAUCGUGCAACAGGCCUUCAGUCCUCCUUCAUUCCUAGAAGCUGACGCUCAUUCCACCUCACGUGAUUUUAUAGCUUCCUGGUCGCUACAUCACCCGCCUAUGACGUCUCGCCCUUUCAUUGGACUAAUUACACAUGUUAUUCAGAGCCGGUCACGCUGAUGGCGUUCCCAUAGCGUUUUCCGAUGCAGCGUCUCGUUCAAUUCGGGGAACCAUGGUUACAUACGUAACCUGGGACGUUUUGUCUUUGCAUGUUGCAUCAUAAACCUAAAAUUGUGGUAUUCUCUGCCAGGCUUUAUUAUUCUGGAAUAGCAUUCUCAAUAUUGUUUGGGGCUCAGACACACUCUUUCUGUUUAAAUACAAAUCUCAACAAGAUUAAAUACACAUCUCCUUUGCCAAAAAUUCACAUAAUACAUCUUAUAACCUUGUACUCCAAUUAUAUCUGAUUAAAUGCACAUGAUUAUCUUUUGCUUAGUCAGCAACCAUGCUAUCACUGUAAAAAAAAAUGACGGUGAAUUUAACGGUAAAAGACUGUACAAAUGCUACAGUAAAAACCUGUUAAAUGGUUAACAGUAAAUUCCCCUGCUAUACAUGUUGAAAAACUGUAUUGGACAUUACAUGUAAUUUUAUGGAAGUAUAGCGAUUUUGGAAGAGAAAAAGACGUGAAUAACCAUAAAUUGACAUUCCCAGAAUUCCCUGCAUUACAUUUCAAAUUUAAUUUUUUUAAAUAACUUUACUUUUUCUUCGUUUUUUUUCAUAUCAGUUUUGUAUAUUGGGGUUGUAUGUUACACCUAAUGUUGUUAAAUAAAUGUUUAAUGAAUUAUUUCAGUUUCACGUGUGUUACCAUGAUAGUGUUUAGUGUUUGUAUGAAUGACUAUGUUCUAUGUAUGUUAUUAUUUAAAAGCUGCUUGUGAUGGACUUUGGUUAAUGAAAUAAGGUUAUUUAACUGUAAAUUUAAGUUAAAACCGUAAAACCUAAAAUGUCGCUACCAUAUUUUUUAUGGUAAAAUUCCGGCAACCAAAGCUGGUGUUUUUUUACCAUAUUUUAUUUAUUUUUUUUUUUUUUUUGCUUUUCUGUUUCUGUCUCAGGAUUGGAUACAGGCUUUUAUGAAGUUUUCACAUGACCCAGCACCGGAGAAGAGAUGAUGCCAACCCCUGUAAGGACCUCAGAUAAUGCAAACUAUGAAUAAAUACACAAAUGUGACAAUUUUCCCCUAUAUUGUAAUCAUUACGAUCACAACAUGCAAUCAUUGCUUUAAUGCAUUCAUUGUUUCUGCUUAAAUAAGUAUGUGGCAUUUACUAACGGCAUGAUUUGUAUAAUCUGUACAUCAUUCAUACAGAAAUAUACGAGGUGUACCUUUGACAGGAACCUACUUUGAAAUUCUUCUAAAAAUGUCUCUGAUUUACCUUUCUGCUGAUCUUUACCCAAUAAGAUGUUCUUCAUUUAAGAUAUAGAGAAAUUAUAUAAACUGAAUGCAAAUUUCAAACUAGGCACAAUGAAAAAACUGUAGUGACAUAUCUGCAAAAUUAUAUUCAAGGGAUAACAUAAGGUAACAUGAUAGGGUAACAGCAAUGAAAGGGUUACAUUAUAAGAUUGUGUGUAUGUGUGUGUGUGUGUGUGUGUGUGUGUGUGUGUGUGUGUGUGUGUGAGAGAGAGAGAGAGAGAGAGAGAGAGAGAGAGAGAGAGAGCAAUAUAUGACUUUGGUAACACUUUACAAUAAGAUUUCAUUUGUUAACAUUAACAAACUGUAUUAGUUAACAUGAACAAUAUUUAUAUAGUAUUUAUUAAUUAAUGUUAAGUUCAAAACUUCACAUUAUGUAUUAAUAUAACAUAUUAUUCUUUAUUAGUUCAGGUUAGUUGAUGCAUUAAGGAGCUGAAAAUAGACUGCGCCAUAGACCAACUCAAACCUGGUCUAAAGUCUGGCGCAAUGUUUUUUCUUUGUUAUUUAAAGAGCGUGUUAGUAUAUACGGGUCCACAACGCGUGUACUCGCUACUUAUUAAACACACAGGGAUGCACAGCAGCACACAAUGACACAAACAUGCCAAAUAUUAAAAAAUAAAGGACUGCAAUGCAUAAGAAUUUUUUGUAGGUUAAUUAAAUAUAAAAAUGCCUACAUGUCAUAAUGGAUAGUCAUCGCAUGUAUCAGAAUUAGGCUAUCUAUUUGCUCUCGCACGAGCAGCUCUGUUUCAUCUCGGAGAUGCAUUCCAUCUCUGCGCUUGCCAAAUUCCGCCGUGUAAAUAGCAAAUCCGUCAUGGCACGAGCGCAACUGGCUCUUAAAGGGAAUGGAAGAUGAGACUCUGAUUGGUUUAUUGCACGUUACGCCCAAAAAACACCCAUUACUCAUUAAGAGAAUAGGGACAACCCGUUUAGACCAUGCGCCUGGGCGCGCCAACCAUUUUUCCAUCGUUAAAAUAGCAAAAGUGGAUUUGGACACGCCCUGAGUGUACCUGCGCUGUGCGCUUUACACUUUGUGUUCAGAUCGUUAAAAUAGGGCCCUAGGUUCCUUAGUAUAGUGACAUAAUGUUGACAAAGUUUGUUGUGAAUUGCAUUAAUUGAAUUAAUUCACGGACUGAACAUUCAAACCAGAAUAGCGAACUGCCUGUUGAUCGUAACUAAUGACUGUAAAUUAGGAAGUUGUCUGGCUUGAUGAGAACAAUAUAUGCUCCAAGUUUGGUCACUGUAGUGCUAAAACUAAAGGUUAUACUAUAACAGCAUGUAACAUUAUGUUGGUGGCAAUUGGAUGAGGAGUAUCACAAUUCCAGAGCAUGCGCUUUUCACAAAACCUUGAAUAACAGACUUCCUGUUGGGCAGUGUGCUGACUGUCAGCACAAAAAUUGUUUGGGCUGAUGAGAUCUAAAUGUGUAUGAAUUUUGGUGACUGGUCAAACGGUGUGUGCUACAGAGCCCCUCAAAAAUGUCAUUAUUAAAGGCUGUGGCUCAGGCCCUGCAGGUUGUAGAUUCCAACAAAGUUUCAAGAGGUUUUGAGCAUGUUAAGGGCCCCAAAACUGGCAAAAACCUAGAAUUUUUUUUUCUUUUUUUUUUCUUAUCAUUAGAAGAACAAUAAAGUCCUGCACAACUAGUGGAUUAGGCCCUAAUUAGUUUACAAAUUGGCAAGUGUUUUGAGCUCAUAAUACAGUAUUGUGCAAUGAACUAUGUGAAUUUAAGUUUUUAAGAAUCAGUAAUCUGCCCAGGAAUUAUAAUUUGCGUGAAAAUCAAUAAAAAAUAGUUAGAGUUUUGCAAAAAUGUAGCCAGAGGCACGUUUU
This is a long non-coding RNA of Cyprinus carpio carpio, 4169 nucleotides long. Lineage: Eukaryota; Metazoa; Chordata; Actinopteri; Cypriniformes; Cyprinidae. The record is from Ensembl.